RNAcentral lists this unclassified non-coding RNA (341 nucleotides) under soil metagenome. RNAcentral describes it as "partial contains 5.8S ribosomal RNA, internal transcribed spacer 2, and large subunit ribosomal RNA". The stretch from base 1 to 120 matches the Rfam family "5.8S ribosomal RNA", at positions 35 to 154 of the family's 154-position model. The record is from RNAcentral.
GAUGAAGAACGCAGCGAAAUGCGAUAAGUAAUGUGAAUUGCAGAAUUCAGUGAAUCAUCGAAUCUUUGAACGCACAUUGCGCCCUUUGGUAUUCCAAAGGGCAUGCCUGUUCGAGCGUCAUUUGUACCCUCAAGCUUUGCUUGGUGUUGGGCGUCUUGUCUCUAGCUUUGCUGGAGACUCGCCUUAAAGUAAUUGGCAGCCGGCCUACUGGUUUCGGAGCGCAGCACAAGUCGCACUCUCUAUCAGCAAAGGUCUAGCAUCCAUUAAGCCUUUUUUUCAACUUUUGACCUCGGAUCAGGUAGGGAUACCCGCUGAACUUAAGCAUAUCAGUAAGCGGAGGA